RNAcentral lists this ribosomal RNA (1242 nucleotides) under metagenome. RNAcentral's name for it is "bacterial LSU rRNA". It matches the Rfam family "Bacterial large subunit ribosomal RNA", at positions 1564 to 2815 of the family's 2925-position model. The record is from RNAcentral.
UGAAUACGAGACGCUACGGCGUCGAAGCAGUCUAUGUCAUACUUCCAAGAAAAGCUCGCAAUGUCAUAAACAAAUAAUGCCUGUACCAUAACCGACACAGGUGGGUAGGUAGAGUAUACUAAGGGGCGCGAGAUAACUCUCUCUAAGGAACUCGGCAAAAUGACUCCGUAACUUCGGGAGAAGGAGUGCCUUAUUUAUAAGGUUGCAAUAACAAGAUCCAAGCAACUGUUUAUCAAAAACACAGGUCUCCGCUAAGUCGUAAGACGAUGUAUGGGGGCUGACGCCUGCCCAGUGCCAGAAGGUUAAAGAAGUUGGUUAGCAUUCGCGAAGCUGAUAACUGAAGCCCUGGUGAACGGCGGCCGUAACAAUAACGGUCCUAAGGUAGCGAAAUUCCUUGUCGGGUAAGUUCCGACCCGCACGAAAGGCGUAAUGAUUUGGAUACUGUCUCGGAGAGGGGCUCGGUGAAAUAGACUUGUCUGUGAAGAUGCGGACUACCUGCACCUGGACAGAAAGACCCUAUGAAGCUUUACUGUAACUUGAAAUUGAAAUUGGACUUUAUUUGCGCAGCAUAGGUGGGAGGCGUUGAGAGUAUUCUUGCGGGAAUAUUGGAGCCAUCAGUGAGAUACCACUCUUGUAAUGUUAGGUUUCUAACUUUGGAUCAUUAUCUGGUCAAAGAACAGUUUCAGGCGGGCAGUUUGACUGGGGCGGUCGCCUCCCAAACGGUAACGGAGGCGUACAAAGGUUUCCUCUGAACGGGUAGAAAUCGUAUCUAGAGUGUAAAGGCAUAAGGAAGCUUGACUGUGAGACCUACAAGUCGAGCAGGGACGAAAGUCGGUCUUAGUGAUCUGACGGUGCUGAGUGGAAAGGCCGUCACUCAACGGAUAAAAGUUACUCUAAGGAUAACAGGCUGAUCUCCCCCAAGAAUUCACAUCAACGGGGAGGUUUGGCACCUCGAUGUCGGCUCAUCGCAUCCUGGGGCGGUAGUACGUCCCAAGGGUUGGGCUGUUCGCCCAUGAAAGCGGUACGCGAGCUGGGUUCCGAACGUCGUGAGACAGUUCGGUCCAUAUCCGGUGUAGGCGUUAGAAUAUUGAGAGGAGCCUUCUUUAGUACGAGAGGACCGAGAAGGACAUACCUCUGGUGUACCAGUUAUCGUGCCAACGGUAAACGCUGGGUAGCUAUGUAUGGAGAGGAUAACCGCUGAAAGCAUCUAAGUGGGAAGCCCACCUCAAGAUAAGUAUUCUC